CACGCAUGACACACUGCAUAUCAAUAAGCGGAGGAAAAGAAACUAACUAGGAUUCCCUUAGUAACGGCGAGUGAAGCGGGAAGAGCUCAAAUUUGAAAUCUUCAAGGUUUUACCUUGACGAAUUGUAGUUUAAAGAAGUGUUUUCUGUUGGAGUUUUGGUAAAAGUUCUUUGGAAUAGGACAUCAUAGAGGGUGAGAAUCCCGUAUUUGGUCAUUCUUUCUAGCUUUGUGAUACACUUUCAACGAGUCGGAUUGUUUGGGAAUGCAGUCCAAAAUGGGUGGUAAAUUUCAUCUAAAGCUAAAUGCUGGCGAGAGGCCGAUAGCGAACAAGUACCGUGAGGGAAAGAUGAAAAGAACUUUGAAAAGAGAGUUAAACAGUACGUGAAAUUGUCAAAAGGGAAGCGUUUGACACCAGUGUUGUUUUUCCGAAAAUCAAUUACGAAUGUUUUGUUUUUGAGGAGUUAUGACUUCAUCGGCUUGCUUCUCUCUUUACGAAACUUUCUUAAUGCACUUUUCGGUUAACAAGUCAACAUCAAUUUCUUUUGUUGUAAAAGGGUAUGAGGAAGGUGGCUUUCUUUUCGGAGAAAGUGUUUAUAGCCUUGUGCCUCUGCAAUCGGAGAGAUUGAGGUCUGCAGCGUAGAUCCUUCGGGGUUAGAUACAUUUGUGCUAAGCUAUAGCCUUUCAUAGACAACUUGUUGACUAUGAUCAGUCAUGUAGCUUACUCGCUUAUGCUAUUUUACCUACGCUUAGGAUGUUGAAGACUCUACAGAGAUA
This 773-nucleotide ribosomal RNA is filed under the name uncultured Neocallimastigales. RNAcentral's name for it is "partial large subunit ribosomal RNA". It matches the Rfam family "Eukaryotic large subunit ribosomal RNA", at positions 24 to 642 of the family's 3401-position model. The record is from RNAcentral. Lineage: Eukaryota; Fungi; Neocallimastigomycota; Neocallimastigomycetes; Neocallimastigales.